RNAcentral lists this ribosomal RNA (334 nucleotides) under Salmonella enterica subsp. enterica serovar Derby. Its description in RNAcentral is "bacterial SSU rRNA". It matches the Rfam family "Bacterial small subunit ribosomal RNA", at positions 110 to 447 of the family's 1533-position model. Lineage: Bacteria; Pseudomonadati; Pseudomonadota; Gammaproteobacteria; Enterobacterales; Enterobacteriaceae. RNAcentral also lists the same sequence under 38 other names. The record is from RNAcentral.
GUAAUGUCUGGGAAACUGCCUGAUGGAGGGGGAUAACUACUGGAAACGGUGGCUAAUACCGCAUAACGUCGCAAGACCAAAGAGGGGGACCUUCGGGCCUCUUGCCAUCAGAUGUGCCCAGAUGGGAUUAGCUUGUUGGUGAGGUAACGGCUCACCAAGGCGACGAUCCCUAGCUGGUCUGAGAGGAUGACCAGCCACACUGGAACUGAGACACGGUCCAGACUCCUACGGGAGGCAGCAGUGGGGAAUAUUGCACAAUGGGCGCAAGCCUGAUGCAGCCAUGCCGCGUGUAUGAAGAAGGCCUUCGGGUUGUAAAGUACUUUCAGCGGGGAGG